GAUGAACGCUAGCGGCAGGCUUAAUACAUGCAAGUCGAGGGGUAGCAAGAUUGUAGCAAUACAAUUGUUGACGACCGGCAAACGGGUGCGGAACACGUACACAACCUUCCUACAAGUGGGGAAUAGCCCAGAGAAAUUUGGAUUAAUACCCCGUAACACAGCGAUGUGGCAUCACAUUGAUAUUCUAGCUUUGGAGCUUGUUGAUGGGUGUGCGGCUGUUUAGAUAGUUGGCGGGGUAACGGCCCACCAAGUCUACGAUCAGUAGCUGAUGUGAGAGCAUGAUCAGCCACACGGGCACUGAGACACGGGCCCGACUCCUACGGGAGGCAGCAGUAAGGAAUAUUGGACAAUGGACGCAAGUCUGAUCCAGCCAUGCCGCGUGAAGGAUUAAGGUCCUCUGGAUUGUAAACUUCUUUUAUAAGGGACGAAAAAAGGUCUUUCUAGAUCGUCUGACGGUACCUUAUGAAUAAGCACCGGCUAACUCCGUGCCAGCAGCCGCAGUAA
This 504-nucleotide ribosomal RNA is filed under the name uncultured bacterium. RNAcentral's name for it is "partial 16S ribosomal RNA". It matches the Rfam family "Bacterial small subunit ribosomal RNA", at positions 28 to 523 of the family's 1533-position model. The record is from RNAcentral.